AAGCCUGCAUGUCUAAGUAUAAGCAAUUAUACCGCGAAACUGCGAAUGGCUCAUUAUAUAAGUUAUCGUUUAUUUGAUAAUACUUUACUACUUGGAUAACCGUGGUAAUUCUAGAGCUAAUACAUGCUAAAAAUCCCGACUUCGGAAGGGUUGUAUUUAUUAGAUUAAAAACCAAUGCCCCUCGGGGCUCUCUGGUGAAUCAUGAUAACUAGUCGAAUCGACAGGCCUUGUGCCGGCGAUGGCUCAUUCAAAUUUCUUCCCUAUCAACUUUCGAUGUUUGGGUCUUGUCCAAACAUGGUGGCAACGGGUAACGGAGGGUUAGGGCUCGACCCCGGAGAAGGAGCCUGAGAAACGGCUACUACAUCCAAGGAAGGCAGCAGGCGCGCAAAUUACCCAAUCCCGACACGGGGAGGUAGUGACAAUAAAUACUGAUACAGGGCUCUUUUGGGUCUUGUAAUCGGAAUGAGUACAAUUUAAAUCCCUUAACGAGGAACAAUUGGAGGGCAAGUCUGGUGCCAGCAGCCGCGGUAAUUCCAGCUCCAAUAGCGUAUAUUAAAGUUGUUGUGGUUAAAAAGCUCGUAGUUGAACCUUGGGCCUGGCUGGCCGGUCCGCCUCACCGCGUGCACUGGUCCGGCCGGGCCUUUCCCUCUGCGGAACCCCAUGCCCUUCAC
RNAcentral lists this ribosomal RNA (671 nucleotides) under Trichoderma viride. RNAcentral's name for it is "SSU rRNA". It matches the Rfam family "Eukaryotic small subunit ribosomal RNA", at positions 46 to 722 of the family's 1831-position model. The record is from RNAcentral. Lineage: Eukaryota; Fungi; Ascomycota; Sordariomycetes; Hypocreales; Hypocreaceae.